UACGUAGGGGGCAAGCGUUGUCCGGAUUUAUUGGGCGUAAAGCGCUCGCAGGCGGUUCGUUGCGUCGUGCGUGAAAGACCCCGGCUCAACUGGGGAGGGUCACUCGAUACUGAUCGACUCGAAGGCAGGAGAGGGAAGUGGAAUUCCCGGUGUAGUGGUGAAAUGCGCAGAUAUCAGGAGGAACACCGAUGGCGAAGGCAGGUCUCUGGGCCAUAACUGACGCUGAGAAGCGAAAGCAUGGGGAGCGAACAGG
Molecule: ribosomal RNA, 253 nt
Filed under: uncultured bacterium
Lineage: Bacteria
Description: partial 16S ribosomal RNA
Rfam family: Bacterial small subunit ribosomal RNA
Source: RNAcentral